RNAcentral lists this transfer RNA (93 nucleotides) under Azonexus sp. RNAcentral describes it as "tRNA-Sec". It matches the Rfam family "Selenocysteine transfer RNA". RNAcentral also lists the same sequence under 2 other names. Lineage: Bacteria; Pseudomonadati; Pseudomonadota; Betaproteobacteria; Rhodocyclales; Azonexaceae. The record is from RNAcentral.
GGAAGGAAUCGUCUCCCGGUGGGGCGGCCGGUCUUCAAAACCGGCAGGGCCUGUCAGACAGGCCCGAGUAGGUUCGACUCCUGCUUCCUUCCG